RNAcentral lists this ribosomal RNA (354 nucleotides) under uncultured bacterium. Its description in RNAcentral is "bacterial SSU rRNA". It matches the Rfam family "Bacterial small subunit ribosomal RNA", at positions 30 to 396 of the family's 1533-position model. The record is from RNAcentral.
AUUGAACGCUGGCGGCAGGCUUAACACAUGCAAGUCGAGCGGAGACUUCGGUCUUAGCGGCGAACGGGUGAGUAAUACCUAGGAAUCUGCCUAUUAGUGGGGGAUAACGAAUCGAAAGGUUCGCUAAUACCGCAUACGUCCUACGGGAGAAAGGGGGGAGUCUUUGGACCUCUCGCUAAUAGAUGAGCCUAGGCCGGAUUAGCUAGUUGGUAGGGUAAAGGCCUACCAAGGCGACGAUCGGUAGCUGGUCUGAGAGGACGACCAGCCACACUGGAACUGAGACACGGUCCAGACUCCUACGGGAGGCAGCAGUGGGGAAUAUUGGACAAUGGGCGCAAGCCUGAUCCAGCCAUG